Molecule: ribosomal RNA, 460 nt
Filed under: uncultured bacterium
Lineage: Bacteria
Description: partial 16S ribosomal RNA
Rfam family: Bacterial small subunit ribosomal RNA
Source: RNAcentral
CCUACGGGUGGCAGCAGUGAGGAAUAUUGGUCAAUGGCCGUAAGGCUGAACCAGCCAAGUAGCGUGAGGGAAGACUGCCCUAUGGGUUGUAAACUUCUUUUAUGCGGGGAUAAAGGUGUCCACGUGUGGCUGUUUGCAGGUACCGCAUGAAUAAGGACCGGCUAAUUCCGUGCCAGCAGCCGCGGUAAUACGGAAGGUCCGGGCGUUAUCCGGAUUUAUUGGGUUUAAAGGGAGCGUAGGCCGGUCUUUAAGCGUGCCGUGAAAUGGUGUGGCUCAACCAUGAGAGUGCGGCGCGAACUGGGGACCUUGAGUGCGCGGAAGGCAGGCGGAAUUCGUGGUGUAGCGGUGAAAUGCUUAGAUAUCACGAAGAACCCCGAUUGCGAAGGCAGCCUGCCGCAGCGUUACUGACGCUGAAGCCCGAAAGCGCGGGUAUCGAACAGGAUUAGAUACCCUAGUAGUC